CCUUUCUCAUCUCCCUCAGUUUGUGUUGACGAACCGUUCUUUUCUUCCUCCUUCUUUGGUUUCUCGAGUGGUUUGCGUACCAUAUUAGAGUGGUUUUUCGAAACUUUUCGAAACCAUAUUGAGGUGUUAUUCUCGAGCGAUUUCUAGCAGUGCAGCCUUUAAUCGUACAGUUAGAAUCUGGGCUGUUUUAUCCUGGAGGCGGCGCGGUUGCUAGUCUACCUUGCACAACUUAGGUAGUGCCGCGAAACGUCUUAAAGAAAGCGACCUGGUCGUGACUCACCCCGGUAAUAGUUUCAAAGCUCUGUCGUAAUUUUCAAAUUACAAAAACAACACAUUUUGAUUUAAGGAAAAAGUGAUUAUCUUAUUGAAGAUAGAGAUCAUGCUUUUAUUUUACAUUUGCAAGAGAUACGAUACAAUACCUACAUGCAUGUGUCUAGUUUUCAUGCAUGUCCCCUA
This 456-nucleotide long non-coding RNA is filed under the name Medicago truncatula (barrel medic). Its description in RNAcentral is "lncRNA gene32743". The record is from RNAcentral. Lineage: Eukaryota; Viridiplantae; Streptophyta; Magnoliopsida; Fabales; Fabaceae.